This 253-nucleotide ribosomal RNA is filed under the name uncultured bacterium. Its description in RNAcentral is "partial 16S ribosomal RNA". It matches the Rfam family "Bacterial small subunit ribosomal RNA", at positions 524 to 776 of the family's 1533-position model. The record is from RNAcentral.
UACGCAGGGGGCUCGCGUUGCUCGGAAUGACUGGGCGUAAAGGGCGCGUCGGCGGCUUAUACAGUCAGGCGUGAAAUUCCUGGGCUCACCCUGGGGACUGCGUCUGAUACGUAUAGGCUUGAGUAUGGAAGAGGGUCGUGGAAUUUCCAGUGUAGAGGUGAAAUUCGUAGAUAUUGGAAAGAACACCGGUGGCGAAGGCGGCGACCUGGUCCAUUACUGACGCUGAGGCGCGAAAGCGUGGGGAGCAAACAGG